Molecule: ribosomal RNA, 789 nt
Filed under: uncultured bacterium
Lineage: Bacteria
Description: bacterial SSU rRNA
Rfam family: Bacterial small subunit ribosomal RNA
Source: RNAcentral
AGAGUUUGAUCCUGGCUCAGGGUGAACGCUAGCGGGAGGCCUAACACAUGCAAGUCGAACGGGAUUGAGAGCUUGCUCUCAUGAGAGUGGCGCACGGGUGAGUAACGCGUAUGCAACCUACCUAUAACUGAGGGAUAGCCCAUAGAAAUGUGGAUUAAUACCUCAUAGUUCUUUUGGUCCGCAUGGAUUAAAAGAUAAAGCUCCGGCGGUUAUAGAUGGGCAUGCGUGACAUUAGCUAGUUGGUAAGGUAACGGCUUACCAAGGCUACGAUGUCUAGGGGUUCUGAGAGGAUGAUCCCCCACACUGGUACUGAGACACGGACCAGACUCCUACGGGAGGCAGCAGUGAGGAAUAUUGGUCAAUGGGCGCAAGCCUGAACCAGCCAUCCCGCGUGAAGGAUGAAUGUCCUAUGGAUUGUAAACUUCUUUUGUAUGGAAAGAAACUUCCCGACGUGUCGGGAACUGACGGUACUAUACGAAUAAGCAUCGGCUAACUCCGUGCCAGCAGCCGCGGUAAUACGGAGGAUGCAAGCGUUAUCCGGAUUCAUUGGGUUUAAAGGGUGCGUAGGCGGCUUUCUAAGUCAGUGGUGAAAUCUCCCCGCUUAACGGGGAAUCUGCCAUUGAUACUGGGAGGCUUGAAUGUAGUUGAAGUAGGCGGAAUGUGUAAUGUAGCGGUGAAAUGCUUAGAUAUUACACAGAACUCCGAUUGCGUAGGCAGCUUACUAAACUAUGAUUGACGCUGAGGCACGAAAGCGUGGGGAGCAAACAGGAUUAGAUACCCUGGUAGUCC